This is a long non-coding RNA of Oreochromis niloticus (Nile tilapia), 2797 nucleotides long. The record is from Ensembl. NCBI's taxonomy places the organism in Eukaryota, Metazoa, Chordata, Actinopteri, Cichliformes, Cichlidae.
UUCAACAAAAACAUUCAACAUUCACACUUUCCCUCAUUGACAGUAGUGCUGUUCCACACUACAAAUAUUGGUAUCGAUCCAAUACCAAGUAAAUACAGGGCCAGGAUUGGUUAUUAUUUGUUAUUCAGGUAGCUAAUUGGGGGAAGAGUAGUGUGCCAUGAAUUAUCCUUUUAAUCACCACUAUAUCACGGAUUACUUUCCACAAUAAUUAGUUAAUGCAACAAAACACACCUUUCAGCUUUUCAUGUCUUUUGAAGCUGGGUUUUUGGAGACCUGGAAUGGAAGUUUUUCUGUCUCUAAAGCACACAAAAAGGUUUGGACUUUCUUCAUAGUGCAUAUUUGAGGUUUAUUUUUUCCAAGGAAAUAAUUAACACAGUUCACCGGGCUACAUACUGAACUCGAAGGAUACAAGCAAAGUAUCGAUCCAAUCCUGUUAGUAUCGAUCCGAUACCAAUACUAGUGUUGGUAUCGACACUAUCGAUAUUUGGAUCGAUCCAUUCCGCCCACCUCUACCAGCGGGGGCCUCUUCUCAAGAUGGCGGCCUGUCCUUGGUGGAAGAAGGAGUGCGAUACAUUUUUAUGACAACCGGGGUUUAAAGAAGAAACCGAGGUCAAAAAGUAGACUAAAAGGAAUUGUUCCACUAUGGUAAUUUGCGGAACCUCCAAGAAAAUCUAUGAAAAGAAAAGGACCGUCAAAGUCAAGAAUAAUAACGCUAAUUGGCUAGCUAACUAGCCACCAGUCAUACAUGCAGGGGGGCACGGACGCCAUGGCUCCUCACCAGCUGGCUGUCAGCCUCCAGUCGGCGCCCUCCAUGAUCUCCCAGAAAGUGCAGUUAACUUACCAGCUGUUCUUGCUGGAAAAUGCCCGGAAUAAACUUGAACAAGACCUUCGCAACUUCACCAUCAAGGCCUAUAAAGAUGUCCAAGGUUACCUGAAUUCAUCUUGUCCCAGGAGCUUGUUCAGUGAUCUCUCAAAAGCUUUAGAUGUGAAAUGUCAAACAGUCGCAAAGGUUUCAGCUUUAUUAAAGGACCUCACAGCUGACCCGCAGGUUUGUCUCCUUCCUAAAGUUAAAAAUGGAGUCAGCGGAAAUCGGAUGCAGCAGCUUGGCGUCAAAGAGAUUCAGAUUACAGAUGUUUUUAAGUUUGGGCCCAUGUUAAAGAACUCACUGAUGGCGAGCUCAAUAGCAAAAGCAAUCCAGGUACUGGGAGCCAAGGUGUCUCUUCAGCAGCUACAACGCUUCCUCACCUCAAAGCCUGCAGCAGACUAUCAGGACGACAUGAUAUGCAGGCGUUCUUCGAGCCUCACCAGCACUGUUUUGACUUCCAGUUGUGAUUUUAAGGUUGAAGAAAAGCAGGUUGAUUUUGAGGAGAAGAGCCAAGCGGAUGCUGGGAUUUUUCCACCUGUCACUGAUGAGAGCCAUGACAGAAGGGCAGAGAGGCCUCAAAUACUUUUACCUCCCUUAAAAGCUGUUUUCCCCGAGCUCAGUAACCCAAAACCCAUGAACACCACACCACUAUUACACUGGAGAUGUGAAGAUGAUGUCAAGGUGCAAUACCAAAAACAAACAUCCUCCCAGCUGCUGCACUUCCUCAGAGCAAAAGUUAAAAACAUGGGUUCACUGGAGGUCACGGACAUGGAGUGGGCUAAACGUCCAUACACUUCAGAUUUACAGCAGCCUGUGUCACCUACCAUUACAACACAAAAACACCAGUUCAGUCACGUUGUCACCGAUCUGGUAGAAGUUCUUGCUCCAAAACCUUUGAAUGCAAAGUUUGAAACCCAAGACCCAGUCUUCAGAGUGAAAAAAGCAGAGUCAAGUGGCUCUCUCAUCUAUAGUUGCGUGAUUGCAACACAAACUGAACUCUGGGAUAUUGGAGACAUCUUCGGAGAGGUAGUGGAGAGGGGCUCUGAUCCUGGCCCCUUGGGAAGUGAAGACUGCCAAAAUAUAACUACUCUGCCAGAGAUCGUGGGUGUGAAUAUCCACUGGAAACCCAGAAGUCCCAAGUGCACAGACCCUGAACGUGAUAACAGUUCUGAUGGUGCGAAAAUGGCAACAACCAGCAGUUUAAAGAUUCCCGAUUUCCAGAUUCGAAGAUUUGAAGAGACUGAGGUUGUGGUGUCUCACACUGUGAGUCCGAGCAACUUCUACAUCCAGCAGGCAGACUCCCAUGAGAAGCUACAGGCCUUUGCCACAGACUGGAAAGCCAGUAAUUCAUAUGCUGAGCAGAACUGCAUUCCAGAUAUUGGAACCGUAGUAAUGGGUUGGUUCGCCAAGCGAGAACAAUGGUGCAGGAGCCAGGUGAUAAAGAUAUGUGGAGUGAGCAGAGAUGGUGCUGGGACAGAGACAUCCAUCAAGGUGGAAGUGAAAAGGUUGGACUAUGGUGACACUGCCUGUCUGUCACUGUCAAAUAUAAAGGAGCUGACCCCUGAAAUGGCUACUGUACCACUUCAGGCUGUGCAGGUUUCACUGGCUAAUGUGAUGCCUGUGAAUGGGAGAGAUUGGUCUGAGGAGGCAGUCGGCUGGUUCAAAGCGACUGUGCACAACAGGACCCUCUAUGCUAGGCUGUACCAACAGGAAGGCAAAGUUACAGUCGAGCUGUUCAUGGAGAAGGGAAAGCUCGGAGCCAUGAGGAGGGGUGCUUCAAUGUCUUUGAGACUGGCCCAAAAUGGACACGCCAUCCACAGCAAACUUAAGAAGACUAGUCUCAUUAAAAGAAACAGUGUUCAGCUUAAAGCCCAGAAACAGGACUCUGACUGGGAGAAGUAUCUCAUAUCAUGCUACACUCAAAGGAAGUAG